GUGAACGCUGGCGGUAGGCCUAACACAUGCCAGUCGCACGGCAGCACAGUAAGAGCUUGCUCUUACGGGUGGCGAGUGGCGGACGGGUGAGGAAUACAUCGGAAUCUACUUUUUCGUGGGGGAUAACGUAGGGAAACUUACGCUAAUACCGCAUACGACCUACGGGUGAAAGCAGGGGAUCUUCGGACCUUGCGCGAUUGAAUGAGCCGAUGUCGGAUUAGCUAGUUGGCGGGGUAAAGGCCCACCAAGGCGACGAUCCGUAGCUGGUCUGAGAGGAUGAUCAGCCCCACUGGAACUGAGACACGGUCCAGACUCCUACGGGAGGCAGCAGUGGGGAAUAUUGGACAAUGGGCGCAAGCCUGAUCCAGCCAUACCGCGUGGGUGAAGAAGGCCUUCGGGUUGUAAAGCCCUUUUGUUGGGAAAGAAAAGCAGCAGGUUAAUACCCCGCUGUUCUGACGGUACCCAAAGAAUAAGCACCGGCUAACUUCGUG
This 491-nucleotide ribosomal RNA is filed under the name uncultured bacterium. RNAcentral's name for it is "partial 16S ribosomal RNA". It matches the Rfam family "Bacterial small subunit ribosomal RNA", at positions 29 to 507 of the family's 1533-position model. The record is from RNAcentral.